This 1607-nucleotide long non-coding RNA is filed under the name Sus scrofa (pig). RNAcentral describes it as "lncRNA (ENSSSCG00030015353.1)". The record is from RNAcentral. Lineage: Eukaryota; Metazoa; Chordata; Mammalia; Artiodactyla; Suidae.
UUCCAUUGUCUAUCCAGCCUGGCCCCUGAUGGACAUUGAUGUCGUUUCCGAUCUUUGACUGUUAGAAACAGUACCGCAGUGAAGACCUUGGAGCACAUCUCAUUUCCCACCUGGCGGAGAUCUAUGGGGACCUUGGCAUGCUGGCUCUGAUAAAUAAGCCUGUGGAAGAAAACCCAGAGAGCACGACUCCCAGUGAGGUUGUGAGGGUCCAGACAUGGGUCUGGGCUGCUGUGGAGGACUGUGGCCUGUGCCUGGCUCUACGCUCUAUGGCCUAUGCUUGACACCGCCCCCUGGGAAGGAAGACCCGGCCUCCUCUGCAGGAUCCAGCUGAAGGGCAUCGGCUCACUUGUCCAGCUGCAGCCCAUUUACUCUGCCCACCCCUGCAAAGCCAGGCUCUCCCAGACCCGAGACUGCUCAAGCACGUGCCUGGAGGUCCCAGAAACAUCACUGCCAUGUGGACCCCGGGGGACAAGUCCAUCCAGGGCCGCCUCGUGACACCCCAUUACUGUUACUGGAGUGAGUUUGAGGAAUUCCUAUGUACUAAAAAGAAAAAAGAAUCCUUGACUAAGGCACCCAGCAAACACCAGGAACUAUGUUUGCCUACAAACUGCUAUGUCUCUCUAUGGCGAGCAAGUUCCUGAAAUCCUCCCUCACAGAUUAUCUAUUGAAGUAGAUAUGGAUGUUGCCUUGGCUCGUAUGAAAGCUAAUGAAGGUGACUCCCUGCAAAGGGAUAAGGAAAUGAACAUUUCAGCUGCUCUAUGAGAUUCUGCUUUUUACAAAAAUUCAAUUUACCUAAAAAAAAAAAUCAAUCUGGCAACAUCGAUUAGAAUAAGAAGUACACAUACGAUCUGACCCAGUAGUAUAGCUCCUGGGGAUCCAUCCCACAAAACACUGGCUUGGAAGGGCUUAUGCCUAAGGGCGUCUGUUGCAGCAAAAACUAGGGGAAAAAAAAACUUUAGAUAACAACUCUGUAAACUGCUCCUUGGAGUUCUGCUUUCUUCAUGCUAUUAAGCGUGUGUGUAUAGAAAGGAUUCCAGGUGCAAAAGUCCUUCAAAAACACUGAUUUAUACAAAGUCAAACAGAUGUAUUAUUCGUGGGCUUCUCAGAGCUAUUAAGAUGCUUAUUCAGAUAUUAUUCUAGGAAAUAUAUAUUGAGCCUCCACUAUGAGCCAGGAGUUGUGCUGGGGAAAAAGAACAGUGAUCAAAACACGUUCCUCAGAAUAGAGAAUCCGGAAAUAAACCCUGACACCUAUGGUCAAUUAAUCUUUGACAAGGGAGGCAAGAACAUAAAAUGGGAAAAGGAAAGUCUAUUCAGCAAGCAUUGCUGGGAAACCUGGACAGCUGCAUGCAAAGCAAUGAAACUAGAACACACCCUCACACCAUGCACAAAAAUAAACUCCAAAUGACUGAAAGACUUAAAUAUACGACAGGACACCAUCAAACUCCUAGAAGAAAACAUAGGCAAAACACUCUCUGACAUCAACAUCAUGAAUAUUUUCUCAGGUCAGUCUCCCAAAGCAAUAGAAAUUAGAGCAAAAAUAAAUCCAUGGGACCUCAUCAAACUGAAAAGCUUUUGCACAGUGAAGGAAACCCAAAAGAAAACAAAAA